GGCCUCUCUCCCAUUGGGCUGUGGGACCACUUUCCUCCUCAGCCAGGGCUAGAAGCCAAGAUCAGCCCUUGAGGAUCAUUGUCAGGACUGCCAUGAGUGGGCAGCCUUGUUUUCCUGCCUCAGACACUA
Molecule: small nucleolar RNA, 129 nt
Filed under: Nannospalax galili (Upper Galilee mountains blind mole rat)
Lineage: Eukaryota; Metazoa; Chordata; Mammalia; Rodentia; Spalacidae
Source: RNAcentral